AGUGAACGCUGGCGGCGUGCUUAACACAUGCAAGUCGAACGAGAACGGAUCAUAGCUUGCUAUAAUUGUCAGCUAAGUGGCGCACGGGUGAGUAAUGUAUAGGUAAUAUGCCUCUUACUAAGGGAUAACAAAUGGAAACGUUUGCUAAUACCUUAUACUCCUUAUUAACAGAAGUUAAUAAGGGAAAGAUUUAUUGGUAAGAGAUUAGCCUGUAUUGUAUCAGUUAGUUGGUGGGGUAAUGGCUUACCAAGACUAUGACACAUAACUGGUUUGAGAGGAUGAUCAGUCACACUGGAGCUAAGACACGGUCCAGACUCCUACGGGGGGCAGCAGUGGGGAAUAUUGCACAAUGGACGGAAGUCUGAUGCAGCAACGCCGCGUGGAGGAUGACACAUUUCGGUGCGUAAACUCCUUUUAUAUGAGAAGAUAAUGACGGUAUUAUAUGAAUAAGCACCGGCUAACUCCGUGCCAGCAGCCGCCGCAG
Molecule: ribosomal RNA, 484 nt
Filed under: uncultured bacterium
Lineage: Bacteria
Description: partial 16S ribosomal RNA
Rfam family: Bacterial small subunit ribosomal RNA
Source: RNAcentral